Molecule: ribosomal RNA, 1518 nt
Filed under: metagenome
Description: bacterial LSU rRNA
Rfam family: Bacterial large subunit ribosomal RNA
Source: RNAcentral
AAGCAGGUUAAUAUUCCUGCACUUUUCUACAGUGCGAUGUGGGGACGGAGAAGGUUAGGUCUACCAGGCGUUGGUUGUCCUGGGGAAAGGCGGUAGGCAUGAUUCUUAGGCAAAUCCGGGAAUCUCUAUGCCGAGCACCGAGACGAGUCCUAUGAGGACGAAGUGACUGACACCACGCUUCCAGGAAAAGCCACUAAGCUUCAGCUGUAGAAAAACCGUACCGCAAACCGACACAGGUAGGCAGGGUGAGAAUCCCAAGGCGCUUGAGAGAACUCGGGUGAAGGAACUAGGCAAAAUGGCACCGUAACUUCGGGAGAAGGUGCGCCUCUUGGUGUGGUCACGUGCGUGACUGAGCAUCGAGGGGUCGCAGUAACCUGGCCGCUGCGACUGUUUAUCAAAAACACAGCACUCUGCAAACACGAAAGUGGACGUAUAGGGUGUGACGCCUGCCCGGUGCUGGAAGGUUAAUUGAUGGGGUCAGCCGCAAGGCGAAGCUCUUGAUCGAAGCCCUAGUAAACGGCGGCCGUAACUAUAACGGUCCUAAGGUAGCGAAAUUCCUUGUCGGGUAAGUUCCGACCUGCACGAAUGGCGUAACGACAGCGGCGCUGUCUCCACCCGAGACUCAGUGAAAUUGAAAUCGCUGUGAAGAUGCAGCGUUCCCGCGGCAAGACGGAAAGACCCCGUGAACCUUUACUAUAGCUUUACACUGAACGUUGAGUUCUUCUGUGUAGGAUAGGUGGGAGGCUAUGAAACCAGGACGCUAGUUCUGGUGGAGCCAUCCUUGAAAUACCACCCUGAAGUGCUUGACGUUCUAACCUAGGUCCGUAAUCCGGAUCGGGGACCGUGUAUGGUGGGUAGUUUGACUGGGGCGGUCUCCUCCCAAAGAGUAACGGAGGAGCACGAAGGUACGCUCAGCGCGGUCGGACAUCGCGCACUGUGUGCAAAGGCAUAAGCGUGCUUGACUGCGAGAUCGACGGAUCAAGCAGGUACGAAAGUAGGUCUUAGUGAUCCGGUGGUUCUGUAUGGAAGGGCCAUCGCUCAACGGAUAAAAGGUACUCCGGGGAUAACAGGCUGAUACCGCCCAAGAGUUCAUAUCGACGGCGGUGUUUGGCACCUCGAUGUCGGCUCAUCACAUCCUGGGGCUGUAGCCGGUCCCAAGGGUAUGGCUGUUCGCCAUUUAAAGUGGUACGCGAGCUGGGUUCAGAACGUCGUGAGACAGUUCGGUCCCUAUCUGUCGUGGGCGUUGGAGAUUUGAGGGGGGCUGCUCCUAGUACGAGAGGACCGGAGUGGACGUUCCGCUGGUGUUCGGGUUGUCAUGCCCAUGGCAUUGCCCGGUAGCUACGAACGGAAGUGAUAACCGCUGAAAGCAUCUAAGCGGGAAGCACGCCCCAAGAUGAGAUCUCCCGAGAGCUUGACUCUCCUAAAGGCACCAUCAAGACUAGGUGGUUGAUAGGCACGGUGUGGAAGUGCAGCAAUGCAUUGAGCUUACGUGUACUAAUGAGCCGUGAGGCUUGACCU